This 531-nucleotide ribosomal RNA is filed under the name Astomella sp. SLW-2002. RNAcentral describes it as "eukaryotic LSU rRNA". It matches the Rfam family "Eukaryotic large subunit ribosomal RNA", at positions 1893 to 2327 of the family's 3401-position model. The record is from RNAcentral. Lineage: Eukaryota; Metazoa; Arthropoda; Insecta; Diptera; Acroceridae.
GCCUAGCAGAUACGAAUAAUGAUCGUAAGGGAAGUCGGCAAAUUAGAUCCGUAACUUCGGGAUAAGGAUUGGCUCUGAAGAUUGAGAUAGUCGGGCUUGAUUGGGAAGCAAUAAUAUGGUUUAUGUACUCGUUCUGGGUAAAUUAGAAUGAAAUUUAUAUUUUACUAAAGAUGUAAAUGGAGUUUGUUCCCCGGAUAGUAGUCAACGUCACCAAUUGCGGAACUUUCCUGCUAAUAAUAUAUUAAAAAUAAUUGAUGAAAGUUUUUUAUUUUUAAAGAUUAAUAACGGUUAUCAAUUAACAAUCAAUUCAAAACUGGGACGGGCUUGGGGAAUCCGACUGUCCAAUUAAAACAAAGCACUUGUGAUGGCCCUAACGGGUGUUGACACACAUGUGAUUUGCUGCCCAGUGCUCUGACAUGUCUAAGUGAGAGAAAUUCAAGUAAGCGCGGGUAAACGGCGUGAGUACCUAUGACUCUCUUAAGGUAGCCAAAUGCCUCGUCAUCUAAUUAGUGACGCGCAUGAAUGGGUUAG